Numida meleagris (helmeted guineafowl) is the source of this 712-nucleotide long non-coding RNA. RefSeq lists it as uncharacterized. The transcript has 3 exons. Lineage: Eukaryota; Metazoa; Chordata; Aves; Galliformes; Numididae. The record is from RefSeq and is a predicted model, not a curated record.
CACUCUCGAGGGAAAUUCUCACCGUGAACGAAGGCCCUGCUCUGAGGGGUACGGGACUGGCAGCAGGCCUCGUUCUUAUGACCACAUGGAGGAACGUGUCUCGUGUGACAAGUAAACUGUCUUUUUAGGGCAUGGUAUUUACGUAGAGAAAUUGAAGGUCUGUCACCUCCUAAUCUUUUUUUUUGACACCUUCAGACCCUUGCUAUAUAUUGGAAAUAGAAACAAUUGUGUUUGCUUUGUCAGGCACUUUUCCCCCCCCUUUUUUUUUAAGGUAGGAAAACUAAUUUCUGGGUGUGAAGAGGAAGAAAUGCAACAACCUUCCCUGUGCUGCUCAGUUCGUGUGAGAUGCAAAGUGUCCUCAGGAAAUGCGUGCUGACCUUUGUGCCAGGGGCUGUGCCUUUAUUUAUUUUACACCCGUUGGAACUUGAGGGGAAGCAAUGGCUUGGAAAUGGCGGUGUCACCCAGGAGCCCGCGCAGUGAACUGCAGUCUCCUUGUUUGAUCUGUCGAAAACCACCGUGAUGACAACAGAAUGUUUGCAUCAUUUCUGUGCUGUGUCAGUACAGCCCUGAGGAGCAGGGCAGCUCGUGCUGGAAGUGGAUGGCAUUGCAGUAUGAAUGAAGGUCGGUGUAGGAGCUGGUGGGAGGAAGGGAGUCCAGGCUAAUGAACUCUGAAGCAUCUCCUGCUCAGGUACCAGAGGUGGCAGUAAUGAUG